GAGCGCCCCGCAAGGGGAGCGGCAGACGGGAGAGUAACACGUGGGAACGUACCCUUCAGUUCGGAACAACCCAGGGAAACUUGGGCUAAUACCGGAUACGUCCGUAAGGAGAAAGAUUUAUCGCUGAAGGAUCGGCCCGCGUCUGAUUAGCUAGUUGGUAGGGUAACGGCCUACCAAGGCGACGAUCCGUAGCUGGUCUGAGAGGACGACCAGCCACACUGGGACUGAGACACGGCCCAGACUCCUACGGGAGGCAGCAGUGGGGAAUAUUGGACAAUGGGGGAAACCCUGAUCCAGCGACGCCGCGUGUGUGAAGAAGGCCUGCGGGUUGUAAAGCACUUUUAGUGGGGAUGAAAAGUGCAGAGUUAACACCUCUGCAUCUUGACCUAACCCACAGAAAAAGCACCGGCUAACUCUGUGCCAGCAGCCGCGGUAAUACAGAGGGUGCGAGCGUUAAUCGGAAUUACUGGGCGUAAAGCGUGCGUAGACGGUAAUGUAAGUCGGGUGUGAAAGCCCCGGGCUCAACCUGGGAAUUGCAUUCGAGACUGCAUUGCUUGGGUGCGGAAGAGGGAAGCGGAAUUUCCGGUGUAGCGGUGAAAUGCGUAGAUAUCGGAAGGAACACCAGUGGCGAAAGCGGCUUCCUGGUCCGACACCGACGUUCAGGCACGAAAGCGUGGGGA
Molecule: ribosomal RNA, 680 nt
Filed under: uncultured forest soil bacterium
Lineage: Bacteria
Description: bacterial SSU rRNA
Rfam family: Bacterial small subunit ribosomal RNA
Source: RNAcentral